AGAGUUUGAUCCUGGCUCAGGAUGAACGCUAGCGACAGGCUUAACACAUGCAAGUCGAGGGGCAGCGAGGGAGUGGCAACACUUCUGUCGGCGACCGGCGCACGGGUGAGUAACGCGUAUGCAACCUGCCCUUCACAGGGGGAUAACCGGGAGAAAUUCCGACUAAUACCGCAUACGUCCCCUGAGGGCAUCCCCUGGGGAUGAAAGAAUUAUCGGUGAAGGAUGGGCAUGCGUGAUAUUAGGUAGUUGGCGGGGCAACGGCCACCAAGCCCACGAUAUCUAGGGGUUCUGAGAGGAAGGUCCCCCACAUUCGGUACUGAGACACGGACCAAAACGUCCUACGGGAGGCA
Molecule: ribosomal RNA, 350 nt
Filed under: uncultured bacterium
Lineage: Bacteria
Description: bacterial SSU rRNA
Rfam family: Bacterial small subunit ribosomal RNA
Source: RNAcentral